This 480-nucleotide ribosomal RNA is filed under the name Triticum aestivum (bread wheat). RNAcentral's name for it is "partial small subunit ribosomal RNA". Lineage: Eukaryota; Viridiplantae; Streptophyta; Magnoliopsida; Poales; Poaceae. The record is from RNAcentral.
AUGAGGCUCUUGUGUUGGAACUGUAGCGGUAUGGGGACGGACAUGACAGUGGGCGAGCUAAAAUGUCUCGUUAGUAAAUAUCAUCCCUCCCUCCUCUUCCUAUCCGAGACGAAGAUGAGGGAUUCAAGAGCUCGAAAUUUCAUGUGGUCUCUGGGAUAUUCAGGUGCUUUUGCAGUUAGUUGUGAGGGGUUGAGUGGCGGGCUUGCUCUCUUUUGGUCAUCAACUAUAUCGGUAUCAUUGAGAUCAUAUUCGAAGCAAUUGAUCGAUAUUAUAGCCAAGGCAGAAGAUGGUGAUAGUUGGCGAACAACCCUGGUAUAUGAUGAACCAAGGAAGGAAUUGAGGCACAUCUUUUGGGACAAACUUUGCUUCCUGAAGGCUCAGUGGAAGGGACCGUGGAUAUGCGCUGGAGACUUCAACGAAGCUUUCCAUGGUGAUGAACACAUGGGCUUUCGAAAAAGAGACGAACACCAAAUAGCCUAG